GAUGAACGCUGGCGGCGUGCCUAAUACAUGCAAGUCGAGCGAACAGACGAGGAGCUUGCUCCUCUGACGUUAGCGGCGGACGGGUGAGUAACACGUGGAUAACCUACCUAUAAGACUGGGAUAACUUCGGGAAACCGGAGCUAAUACCGGAUAAUAUAUUGAACCGCAUGGUUCAAUAGUAAAAGACGGUUUUGCUGUCACUUAUAGAUGGAUCCGCGCCGCAUUAGCUAGUUGGUAAGGUAACGGCUUACCAAGGCAACGAUGCGUAGCCGACCUGAGAGGGUGAUCGGCCACACUGGAACUGAGACACGGUCCAGACUCCUACGGGAGGCAGCAGUAGGGAAUCUGCCGCAAUGGGCGAAAGCCUGACGGAGCAACGCCGCGUGAGUGAUGAAGGUCUUCGGAUCGUAAAACUCUGUUAUUAGGGAAGAACAAAUGUGUAAGUAACUAUGCACGUCUUGACGGUACCUAAUCAGAAAGCCACGGCUAACUACGUG
Molecule: ribosomal RNA, 497 nt
Filed under: uncultured bacterium
Lineage: Bacteria
Description: partial 16S ribosomal RNA
Rfam family: Bacterial small subunit ribosomal RNA
Source: RNAcentral